GUUUUAAGCCACUUGAUUUUUCCACACUAUAAUAUAAAAUCGUACACGACGCAACACACUGUCUUUUACCAAAUUAUAUUUACUACUCGCCCAAUUCAAAACCCUAACCGGGGCUGUUGUCUUUCUCACCGAGCAUUGUGCAUCUAUUCCAUCGAAAAGGGAAAAUGAGUAGCCGAGCGAGCAGGACUCUCUAUGUUGGGAAUCUUCCUGGUGAUAUUCGCGAGAGAGAAGUAGAAGAUUUGUUUUACAAGUAUGGACCUAUUGCUCACAUUGAUCUCAAGAUCCCACCAAGGCCGCCCGGUUAUGCAUUUGUUGAGUUUGAAGAGGCUCGAGAUGCUGAGGAUGCAAUUCGUGGUCGUGAUGGCUAUGAUUUUGAUGGGCAUCGUUUACGGGUGGAGCUUGCACAUGGUGGCCGCGGACAUUCUUCCUCUGAUCGUCACAGUAGUUACAGUGGUGGUCGUGGACGAGGAGUCUCUAGGCGUUCUGAAUAUCGUGUUUUGGUCACUGGCUUACCCUCUUCUGCUUCAUGGCAAGAUCUUAAGGUCGAUAGAACUGCUUUCCCCUCAUUCACCAUAGAAAAUUGGCCAUCAUUGCUUAUUUUAGAUCACAUGCGCCAAGCAGGUGAUGUCUGUUUCUCUCAAGUUUUCCGCGAUGGUGGUGGCACCACAGGGAUUGUGGACUACACAAACUAUGAAGACAUGAAACAAGCGAUCAAGAAACUUGAUGACUCUGAAUUUCGGAAUGCAUUUUCCCGGGCAUAUGUUCGUGUGAAGGAAUAUGAUUCCAAGCGAGACUCUAGGAGUCCUAGUCGUGGUCGGUCUCGUUCAAGAGGCCGUAGUGACAGCCGUAGUCGCAGCCGCAGCCGCGGCCGAAGUUCUAGCCGGAGUAGGAGCCGGAGCAAAUCUCCCAAAACUAAGUCUACGCGUCGCUUGCCUGCGAGGUCAAGAUCAAGGUCUGCUUCUCGUUCUCGUUCUGGAUCAAAGCCACAUUCUCUGUCAAGUGAACUGGGGAUUGGAUAAUAGGAUCUUGAUGGGAUAUGGUUCAGUUUCUGCAUCUUUUUUGGUUGUUGGAGGUAUGCUGUUUUUCGGAUGGGCAGCUUUGGAAACCUUCAUGGUGUCUCUUAUCUAAUGUAUUUAGCAUUAUAAAUGUCCAUGGGUGCUAGAUGGGGACAAUGGAGAUUAUGGAUUGCAGUAGUACAGCUGGAUUUCAGUGAACUAACUGCUAGUGGAUCUGGAAGUCACCAGCAAUGUGCGGUAGAAACUAUGUCAUUUUCAUUUUCUACUCCAACAAUUGCCAAGCUAAUAGGAUCUGCUAGAUGGACUCACUGUGGAUUUUGUGGUACAGUAGGGAAGCAUGAUUCUUUUCUGUCCAGCUGGGUCUUAAAAACACAUUAUGAUUCUUUAGUUGAGAUUUUCUUUUUUUAAAAAAAGUUAGGUGUUCUAUUGGGGCGGGAAUUUUAUGAAAUGGGCGUGAUAUAUAUUUUUUUGGUUUUCUCUUGAGUUGCUAAACAUUUAUGGCUUUUCUUUUUAUCUUUUUUGAAUUUGGUAACUCUGACGUGGAAGAGGCAUCAAGGCUCUUGGAUGAGAGUUGUUAAAAGGAACGUGUGGAUUUUAAAUUUGGGUUGUUUCUGGAACUUUUGCAGAUCGCGUUCAAGAUCAAGAUCUCCAAUUCCAUCUCGUCAGAAACGCACAAGUAAGAGUCCGAAAAAACGGAGUGCUAGCCGAAGUCCAAGUGGGAGCAGAAGCAGGAGCAAGAGCUUAUCCAGGUGACGUGAUCGUGGCUGAUCACUGGAGACCGGAAGCUUAAAAUGAGCAUGAUUUUAAAACAUCAAAUGACAAAUAGUUGAAAUUGAUGAUUGCUUGAGGCAGUCAAGUUCUGGGCAACACUUACUUAUUUUCCAAGACUGUUGGGAUUCUUGUGGCUUUAAUAUUUGUAGGCUUGAUUUGGUUUGUGUUAAACUCGAUAAAUUAUUAUUUUGAUGGAUAUACACUCCAUAAAAAGAGGCCGCCGCUUUUGAUUCGUGAUGCUA
Jatropha curcas is the source of this 2029-nucleotide non-coding RNA. The record is from RefSeq and is a predicted model, not a curated record. Lineage: Eukaryota; Viridiplantae; Streptophyta; Magnoliopsida; Malpighiales; Euphorbiaceae.